GAUGAACGCUGGCGGCGUGCCUAAUACAUGCAAGUCGAGCGAACAGACGAGGAGCUUGCUCCUCUGACGUUAGCGGUGGACGGGUGAGUAACACGUGGAUAACCUACCUAUAAGACUGGGAUAACUUCGGGAAACCGGAGCUAAUACCGGAUAACAUGUUGAACCGCAUGGUUCAACAGUGAAAGACGGUCUUGCUGUCACUUAUAGAUGGAUCCGCGCCGCAUUAGCUAGUUGGUAAGGUAACGGCUUACCAAGGCAACGAUGCGUAGCCGACCUGAGAGGGUGAUCGGCCACACUGGAACUGAGACACGGUCCAGACUCCUACGGGAGGCAGCAGUAGGGAAUCUUCCGCAAUGGGCGAAAGCCUGACGGAGCAACGCCGCGUGAGUGAAGAAGGUCUUCGGAUCGUAAAACUCUGUUAUUAGGGAAGAACAAAUGUGUAAGUAACUAUGCACGUCUUGACGGUACCUAAUCAGAAAGCACCGGCUAACUACGUGCCAGCCGCCGCCGUAA
RNAcentral lists this ribosomal RNA (513 nucleotides) under uncultured bacterium. RNAcentral's name for it is "partial 16S ribosomal RNA". It matches the Rfam family "Bacterial small subunit ribosomal RNA", at positions 28 to 523 of the family's 1533-position model. The record is from RNAcentral.